Small nucleolar RNA from Callithrix jacchus (white-tufted-ear marmoset), 104 nucleotides. The record is from Ensembl. NCBI's taxonomy places the organism in Eukaryota, Metazoa, Chordata, Mammalia, Primates, Cebidae.
AUCCUUUUGGGGUUGGUGGAUGUGAUGACUGGGUUUCCAUGCACAUGUCUGACAUGUGCCUCCCGCAGACCCUGUUACCACAUCCGUACAGUACCCGUAGGAUG